RNAcentral lists this ribosomal RNA (468 nucleotides) under uncultured bacterium. RNAcentral's name for it is "partial 16S ribosomal RNA". It matches the Rfam family "Bacterial small subunit ribosomal RNA", at positions 28 to 507 of the family's 1533-position model. The record is from RNAcentral.
GACGAACGCUGGCGGCGUGCUUAACACAUGCAAGUCGAACGGAAAGGCCCUGCUUGCAGGGUGCUCGAGUGGCGAACGGGUGAGUAACACGUGGGUGAUCUGCCCCUUACUUUGGGAUAAGCCUGGGAAACUGGGUCUAAUACUGGAUAGGACCAUGCUGUAGGUGGUGUGGUGGAAAGAUUAGUUUCGGUAAGGGAUGAGCUCGCGGCCUAUCAGCUUGUUGGUGGGGUAAUGGCCUACCAAGGCGUCGACGGGUAGCCGGCCUGAGAGGGUGGACGGCCACAUUGGGACUGAGAUGCGGCCCAGACUCCUACGGGAGGCAGCAGUGGGGAAUAUUGCACAAUGGGCGCAAGCCUGAUGCAGCGACGCCGCGUGGGGGAUGACGGCCUUCGGGUUGUAAACUCCUUUCAGCCAUGACGAAGCCUUCGGGUGACGGUAGUGGUAGAAGAAGCACCGGCUAACUACGUG